UCUUGUCACCUCUGACGAAGCCCAUGUUGGUAGGGACAUCUGAGAGUCCAACUCUCAGA
Molecule: small nucleolar RNA, 59 nt
Filed under: Otolemur garnettii (small-eared galago)
Lineage: Eukaryota; Metazoa; Chordata; Mammalia; Primates; Galagidae
Description: Small nucleolar RNA SNORD74 (ENSOGAG00000018291.1)
Source: RNAcentral